Cannabis sativa is the source of this 1077-nucleotide long non-coding RNA. RefSeq lists it as uncharacterized. The transcript has 2 exons. The record is from RefSeq and is a predicted model, not a curated record. NCBI's taxonomy places the organism in Eukaryota, Viridiplantae, Streptophyta, Magnoliopsida, Rosales, Cannabaceae.
GCAGUCCCGAAACUGCCCCUACACCAACACCUAACAGUCAAAAAAAAAAAAUAGGGGCAAAGCUGUCUUUUUCUCUUUGUGCGGAUCCAAAGAGAAUAUGCCUUUCUCUAAACCGAAUAUGCCCCUUUUGAAUUUCAGAUCUACUUUUCAAAACCCUAUUGCAUUUAAUUGCAAUAUAAAACCAAUCUUUUCUCUUUCUAUGAAAACCUAGCUGCCAUUUUUCCCUUUCACAGCCGGCCUCCUUCACUCCUCUUCUCUCUUUCUUCUCCUUUCUUUGAACAGCAAGCAAAACCCUAGCAAGCUUCUUCUCCUCCUUCUCCUACUGCCCAGCCGAAAGCACCUUCUUCCUUUCUUUCUUCUUGUUGCAGCAACAACAACCCAGCCGAGCUUCCUCUUCUCCUUCCCUUCAACCUUCUUACUGCAGAAAUAAAACCCAGCCGAGACACCCAAGCUUAUCUCCUCUUUCUCUUGUUCUAGAUUUUAAAACCUGCAAAGACUAAGAACAAAAACCAGCCAUAGAAAUACCAACGAAAAAUAAAAACCAGCAAAGGAAAAAGAAUAAAAAACACCACAACAAUUGAUUUCGGAGUUCCCUCUAAAUCAGAGGUACGUCUCCGUCAAGCGACCCUCAAAGUUGCUUGAAUCUCACUAUGAAUCUCAAAAACCGGUUACAAGUUAUGGAGAUUCCAUGCCACAAAAGCUAGCAGGUUGAUUACAAAGGAAACACAAGGCUACUGCCUUUAUUUUUCUGCUGGGCCGAAAUGGUUCUCUUGUUCAAAUGAGAAGGUUGAACCUCAUAUUUAUAAUAUUGUUUGUUGCUGGCUGUGUUGUGUUUGAGCUGAGAAAUAGAUAUAUUCUGUUGUGAUAUUUUCCUUGUAAAGCUGAAAGUUUGUUAGAGUCUUGAGAUAUUUUGUUUGCUUCUUCAUAUUGUAAAGAGAAAUAAAGAUCUAGGCCUAUGACAACAGAACCGACAACUCUAUGAGUUAUAAUGGUCUGUUGAGGCUUUGUAAAUAGAUCUAAUUUAUUUUCCUUGUAACUUUAUUUAUGGGACAAUAGUAUGGGAAUUUAUCCAACAAA